GACGAACCGUGCGAACGUUGUUCGGAUUCACUGGGCUUAAAGGGCGCGUAGGCGGGUGCUCAAGUCUGUGGUGAAAUCCUCCAGCUUAACUGGAGAACUGCCAUGGAUACUGGGUGUCUCGAGGAACGUAGGGGUAUGCGGAACGAUUGGUGGAGCGGUGAAAUGCGUUGAUAUCAAUCGGAACUCCGGUGGCGAAGGCGGCAUACUGGACGUUAUCUGACGCUGAGGCGCGAAAGCUAGGGGAGCAAACGGG
This 253-nucleotide ribosomal RNA is filed under the name uncultured bacterium. RNAcentral's name for it is "partial 16S ribosomal RNA". It matches the Rfam family "Bacterial small subunit ribosomal RNA", at positions 524 to 776 of the family's 1533-position model. The record is from RNAcentral.